CUUGAUGUUGAAUAGUCAGGAGAUAUUCUACUGCGAUAAGAAGUGGUCUGGAAACAUAAAUUACUGGAAUAUUAGAGAAAUGAGAUAUCAUUUAUGGAGAACGGGAGAUUGUUGCUUGUAUAAAAUUAUUCUGACGGAUGGAAACAGAACAAUGAGUUCUUUGGUCAAACAACUAGCAUGGAAUGAAGAAUAUUUGUGUUUGUAGUGCAAAGAGAAUUAAUCCUGUCUUAAUUAAAACUACGUGCUAUAUAUUGUUGAACGCAUGAAAUGAAUAAUUUAUUGCUUGAAGUGAUCAGUAUUAUUAGCAAAGGGAUGAAGUGUAUUUGUGUUACUGUAAAGAGAAUUAAAUGUGACUUAAUUGAAACUACAGUCUAUAUCUUGUUAUGCACUUGAACUUUUCCUUGCUUCUUUUGAAGUGAUUGGUAUCAUGAGAAGGAAGGCAUUGAUCCAAUUCAAUAAAAAUUCAACAUUAAUCUAAAUAGUGCACAAAAUUGAGGUUUAACACCUUAUCAAACUAGAAAUCAAAAGAAAUUUUCACUUCAGGCAUUGUUGCACAUUUUGAGCCAUCACUUGAUACAACACUACACCUUAAGCUACAAAUGAAAUAAAUAACCCAGUCAAUCUCAAUCACAUAACUCAAAAACCUUUGCUUGACAAAUAUUAAACGUCACCACCUGACAAAUCGAAUCACAAGAAACCUCGAUUGAGGAACAAUGAUUCCGUAGAGACACCAGAAGAGUCUAAAAUUGAACCCUUGAACUUCAGUAGAGCAGAUCCUCCCGUAUCAGAACCCCAAACAGUGUGUUGUUGAACCUAAAACAGUAUCGAAAUGAAAAUUAAUAGCUUCAACAGCUUGUGCAAACGGAAUAAAAAAACUUACCAAAGAUCCUCGCUUCCCUUCAAAAAAGAAGCAAUGAACGAGAUCUCAAAACCAAAAGAAAAUAGAAACUUACCUAACAUAGACUUUGCUGCUGUGGUUACGGCAAAUGGGAAUUCUAAUGGAACGAAAGGGAGCUACAGCCUUUUUUAUGAAGGAGAGGAAAGGAAUAAAAUUAAGGUUAUCUCGACUCCGACAAGCCCUUACUACCCUAUAAAACCUAUCUCCAUGUAGGAAAAGGAAAAGGGAAAGGAAGGAGGUUAAAAGGCUGAAUCGUGUGGGAGAAGUGGACCAUUAAAACACUUGUUGAAGAGAUAUUUUGUGCAUUGAAAGAAACUGGUUAGUGAACAGUAAUUAUCUAGUUAAAGUGUGAAAAGGAAAGCAGAAAAAUGAACAGUAAAAAGCUCAUUGCCUCUUUUUAUUAAGUGCAUAUUUAGAUGCAUUUAAUUUUUUAAAAUUAAAUAUUAAUGAAAAUGUAAAGUAAAAAAAAAAAAAAAAAGUGGAUAAACCUCCGUGCACGGAGGUUUGCUAAAUGAGUUUUUUUUUUUGUAAAUUUAUAUUUUUGUGUUCAUUUUCAGGCUCAUUACGGAAUAUCAAACGAAAUCGAAAUAUUACAUUCUUAAUAGCAUUUUAAAGUACUUGCGGCAUAGUGUUGUACAUCGUUAACAGUGUGUGAAACGGCUAAUCGUAGCAAAUGUUACGGGACGUUAAAAUAUGCAUUUUCAAACUAUAUUUUGAAAUUUUCGAUAAUAAGCUAACUUUAAAAAUUCAUUGACGAUUGUACGAUGGUCGAAUCGAUAAAUUUUUUACAUUCUCUCGAAACUCAUUUCAAGAACUAUAUCAUAGACAUAUCGAAAGAUCUAAAUGAAUAUCGAAAAUAGUUAAACUGACAUUAAACAUAUGUGUUGCCAAAUCACUUCCCAAACCAGUCAAGUUAUUUAAAAGUAAAAGAAGAGAUUACACUAUCUAAAAGAUAAAAAAUUACUUAUAAGUAAAAAAAUCACUUCAAGUUAUUUAAAAUAAAAAAAACUUAUAAUUGUAAAAGCUACUUAUAGGUAAAAAAAAAAUAUAAAACGAACUUAUAAUUGUAAAAGCUACUUAUAAGUAAAAAAAUAUUAACUUAAAAUUUUUUAAGUAUAAAUAUUUAGAUAUAUAUAGUUUUUAAAAUUAAAUAUUAAUAAAAAGAUUAAACUAUGUAGAACGUAAAAAAUUACUUAUAAGUAAUAAAAUCACUUCAAGUUAUUUAAAAGUAAUAAAAAUUAUAAUUGUAAAAGUUACUUAUAUGUAAAAAAUAUUAACUUCAACAUUUUUAAGUAAAUAUUUAGAUAUAUUUAAUUUUUUAAAAUUAAAUAUUAAUAAAAAAUGUACUACAAAUAAAACUAAAAAAAAAAGUUCACAUUGGUGCGGGGACUCCCCGCACGCAUAAAACUCCGUGCACGGAGGUUAUAACUUUCGUGCACGGAGUUUUGCUAAAGUAGUCUUUUUUUUAAUUUAUAUUUAUGUGUUCAUUUUCAGACUCAUUACGGGAUAGCAAACGAAGUUGAAAUAUUACAUUCUUAAUAUCAUUUUGAAGUACUCGCGGCAUAGUAUUGUACGUUGUUAACGGUACGUGAAACGGCUAAUCGUAGCAAAUGUUACAGGACGUCAAAAUAGGCAUUUUCAAACUAUAUUUCAAAAUUUUCGAUAAUAAGCUAACUUUAAAAAUUUAUUGACAAUUGUACGAUAGUCGAAUUGAUAAAUGUUUUACAUUCUCUCGAAACUCAUUUCAAGAACUAUAUCAUAAACACAUCGAAUGAUCUAAAUGAAUAUUGAAAAUAGUUAAACGGAUAUUAAACGUAUGUGUUAAAAAAUGCGUAUAAGUCGUUUUUCUUAAAAAAAAAUCAAUUAUUUUAUUACUAUUUAUUAUUUUUUCGCAACAAUUUUCACAAUACAUCAUUUUGCUCAAGAAAAAUUAUGUGGUAUGACGUAAAUUUUUUUCUGCAUGCACGAAGUGAAUAUGUUUUUUUUUUUAACAUUUUAUUUACAAUAAUUUUGUUUAUUAAUAUAAUUUUAAAAAUUUAAAUAUAUAAGAUAUGGUCGAUAGUUUAUAGCGUGAGAAUUAGGGGAAAGAGCAUGAUAUGUUAGAUUCAAAGUAAGGGAGAAAUAUUGCAGUGGACAAUAGCGUGUGACAAAAUUUCUGCAGUAUUUUUGAAUAAAAUUUUUCCUGAUGCCAAACCAAUUCCCAAACUGGUUAAGUUAUUUAAAAGUAAAAGAGGAGAUUACACUAUCUAAAAGAUAAAAAAUUACUUAUAAGUAUAAAAAUCACUUCAAGUUAUUUAAAAUAAAAAAAACCUAUAAUUGUAAAAGCUACUUAUAAGUAAAAAAAAAAAAAAUAUUAAUCCCUCAUUCUCUUAUAAUUGCAAAAGCUACUUAUAUAUAAAAAAAAAAUGUGAACUUAAAAUUUUUUUAGUAUAAAUAUUUAGUUUUUAAAAUUAAAUAUUAAUAAAAAGAUUAAACUAUCUAAAACGUAAAAAGUUACUUAUAAGUAAUAAAAUCACUUCAAAUUAUUUAAAAGUAAUGAAAAAUUAUAAUUGUAAAAGUUACUUAUAGGUAAAAAAUAUUAACUUCAACAUUUUUAAGUAAAUAUUUAGAUACAUUUAAUUUUUUUAAAUUAAAUAUUAAUAAAAAAUGUACUACAAAUAAAAUUAAAAAUAAAAGUGCACAUUGGUGCGGGGACUCUCCGCACGCAUAAAACUCUGUGCACGGAGGUUUGUUAAAGUUGUUUUUUUUAAACUUAUGUUUUUGUGUUCAUUUUCAGACUUAUUACGGGAUAUCAAACGAAGUCGAAAUAUUACAUUCUUAAUAUCAUUUUGAAGUAUAUGCGGCAUAGUAUUGCACGUCGUUAACGGUGCGUGAAACGGCUAAUCGUAGCAAAUGUUACGAGACGUCAAAAUAGGCAUUUUCAAACUAUAUUUCGAAAUUUUCGAUAAUAAGCUAACUGUAAAAAUUCAUUGACGAUUGUACGAUAGUUGAAUCGAUAUAUGUUUUACAUUCUCUUGAAGAUCAUUUCAAGAACUAUAUUAUAGACACAUCGAAUGAUCUAAAUGAAUAUCGAAAAUAGUUAAACGAAUAUUAAACGUAUGUGUUAAAAAAUGUGUAUAAGUCGUUUUUCUUUUAAAAAAAUCAAUUAUUUUAUUACUAUUUAUUAUUUUUCUGUAACAAUUUUCUCAAUACAUCAUUUUGCUCAAGAAAAAUUAUGUGGUAUGACGUAAUUUUUUUCUCCAUGCACGGAAUGAAUAUGGUUUUUUUUACAUUUUAUUUACAAUAAUUUUAUUUAUUAAUAUAAUUUUAAAAAGUUAAAUAUAUAAGAUAUGGUUGAUAGUUAAUAGUAUGAGAAUUAGGAGAAAGAGCAUGGUAUGUCAGAUUCAAAGCAAGGGAGAAAUAUUGCAGUGGACAAUGGCGUGUAACAAAAUUCCUACAGUAUUUUUGAAUAGAAUUUUUCUUGUUGCCAAACCAGUUCCCAAAUCGGUUAAGUUAUUUAAAAGUAAAAGAAGAGAUUACACUAUCUAAAAGAUAAAAAAUUACUUUUAAGUAAAAAAAUCACUUCAAAUUAUUUAAAAUAAAAAACUUAUAAUUGUAAAAGCUACUUGUAGGUAAAAAAAAAAAAUAUUAAUCCCCCAUUCUCUUAUAAUUGUAAAAGCUACUUAUAUAAAAAAAAAUGUGAACUUAAAUUUUUUUAGUAUAAAUAUUUAUAUAUAUUUAGUUUUUAAAAUUAAAUAUUAAUAAAAAGAUUAAACUAUCUAGAACGUAAAAAAUUACUUAUAAGUAAACAAAUCACUUCAAGUUAAUUAAAAGUAAUAAAAAAAUUAUAAUUGUAUAAGUUAUUUAUAGGUAAAAAAUAUUAACUUCAACAUUUUAAAGUAAAUAUUUAGAUAUAUUUAAUUUUUUUAAAUUAAAUAUUAAUAAAAAAUGUAUUACAAAUAAAAGUAAAAAAAAAUUUAAUUUGCCGGCAAAUUAUUAUUAUUAUUAUUAUUAUUAUUAUUAUUAUUUUUUAGCUUAUGUUUUUGAGACUCAUUACGGGAUAUUAAACGAAGUUAAAAUCUUACAUUCUUAAUAACAUUUUGAAGUACUUGCGGCAUAGUAUUGCACGUCGUUAACGGUGCGUGAAACGGCUAAUCGUAGCAAAUGUUACAGGACGUCAAAAUGGACAUUUUCAAACUAUAUUUCGAAAUUUUCGAUAAAAAUUCAUUAACGAUUGUACGAUAGUCAAAUCGAUAAAUGUUUUACAUUCUCUCGAAACUCAUUUCAAGAACUAUAUCAUAGAUAUAUCGAAUGAUCUAAAUGAAUAUCGAAAAUAGUUAAACGGAUGUUAAACGUAUGUGUUAAAAAAUGCGUAUAAGUCGUUUUUCUUAAAAAAAAAAAUCAAUUAUUUUAUUACUAUUUAUUAUUUUUUCACAACAAUUUUCUUAAUACAUCAUUUUACUCAAGAAAAUUUAUGUGGUAUGACGUAAAUAUUUUUCUCCAUGCACGGAAUGAAUAUGUUUUUUAUUUUUACAAUAAUUUUGUUUAUUAAUAUAAUUUUAAAAAUUUAAAUAUAUAAGAUAUGGUCGAUAGUUAAUAGCGUGAGAAUUGGGAGAAAGAGUCCUAUUGUAUUGUUGAAUGAAAUUUUUCCUGCUGCCAAACCAGUUCCCAAACCGGUUAAGUGUGAAAACGAGUGUGAUAAAAAUGAAUUGUAAACCCUCAUUCUCUCUUUUAUGGUAGUGUAGAUGUGCAUUUGUAAUAAAUUUUAAUAGUUUAAUCAAUAAUAAUUAAUUGAGAAUAUUAUUUUGAAUUUGUAAUAUCACAAUAUUACGAUUCGAAACGUAUUACAUUCUUUUUAGUAUUAUGAUUUAAUAUUUUCAUAGUUGUUGUAUUUCUAUUAAUUGUACUACAUGUUUUAAAUUUAUUAAUGAAUUAAAUAUUUUUGUUAACAAAACAUAAUUAUUUAUUUAAUAAUUCAUGUAGUAAUAAAAUAAAUAAAUAAUUUUUGAGAUAAAUAAAUUGUUAAGAAUUAAAAAAAUGAAGAAAAUUAUUAAACACUAUUAAUUUGGUGCAACUUUUGAUGUAAUGAGUGAGAGUUGAUUUUCACUUUAAUGUAAGAUUUGAUGCAAAAUGAUGCAACUUUUGGUGUAACGUUGGAGACAGCCUUAGAAUAUUUGGCUAAGCUUAGUUUGUUAGUAAGGGAAGGUUACUAUCGAAACAAAAAUGAAAAAAAAAAGGCAAGAACUUGCUACUUUUAAGCUUAGCAAAACAUGCUGGGAUGUGUAUUGAAUUGAAGAGUCAUGCUUCAGUUCAGGCGUGCCGUUUCAAUGGGGUUAACUAAUUAAACCAAAAAGGCUGAUAAAUGGAUUGAGCUGAAAAAGCGAAAUUCUGGGUUCAUCUAUCAGUGGUCCGCAAGAAAAUGCUGUAUCAGUUCUGGAUGGAUAAUGGAAAGAUAUGAAUCCAAUAAUUCCAAACGUGAAAUUUAAUUCAUAAAGAAAUUUAUGCAUGUCAUAUUUUCAACGUUUUUUAAACCAAAAUUUGACAAUUUUUUAUAGCAGUUGACUUGGUAAUUGUAAAAGUUUAUUCAUUUGUAAGUUUAAUUAAGCAUAUGAUGCGAGUUUCAUUUGCUAUAAAUAUGAAGCACAAUUGCGUCGGUUGACCAACCGUUUCUUUUUCAGUACUUUUAAUUGGACAAAGCGAAAUUAUAUUAAAGUUUAAACUUUCAAAAUUAUUAUAUUUUAAUUUUCAGUUUUAGUUUAAUUAAAAUCUUAAUUUAUAGUAUAACAUACUAUUAAAUAUUUGAAUGGAGGUUAUGAAUUGAUUAAUUUUCAUUAGUGUGGGGGUUUAAAUUAUACACUAUAAAAAGGGAGGACACAACAUGAAAAUCACAAUCUUGAGAUACAACUAGAAAACACAACUUGAGAUAAUUGAAUACAAAAAUAUUUUCUACAAUUUUAUAAUAUACUAUUUUGACAAAUCGAUGAAAGGCUCGUUCAAUUAUCUCCCUACGGUCGUGCCCAUAAAAGGAGAGCUACAUGGAUUUUAUCUUGGAGCUGUGUAGUAUCGAAAGAACUCAUACGGAGGGGAGGCAAUAGGACUUUAGGACAGCGUCUUCGACUUAACUCCCAAGGAUUGCUAUUUCUAACUCACCUCUUAUGUUUGUAUUCUUAUUGAAUUAUAUUAUUUAUAUGUUUAUGUUUAAAAUAGUUGUGUUAAAUAAUAUUUUAUUUACACACAAAUCACCAAUUUUUCUAACAAUCUAAAGUCUUGUUUGGUGAUUUAAACGUAGACAAUUAUUGUUAUGUGAUUUGUGCGUAGAAAAAGAUAGUGUUUGAUUCUUUGCUACUUCGAAUUUGGUGAAUUUUGGUUUAAUAAGUGAACGGUGGAUCCGCAUGUUUUUCAACUACUUGCAGCCAUGGUAGGUAAACAAUCUCACUGCCUGAUAUUUUGCAGAUUUGAGCCUCUGGUUUUAUUAAGCUCAAUAUUGUGUUCCUUAGCAAUGAAAAAUCGAAAUUCAUUUUGUAUUGGGCACCAUAAAAAAAAAAUUAUCAUUGAAUAAUUUUCAUUCUUGUUAAGUAUUUUUAUAUUUCUAUAAAUUGGUAGAAUAAAUGACAAAUUAAGGGGUUUAAUAAUUACACAUUUUAAACUCAAUUUUCAAUGUGUUAAAGAAGGGAAGAAACAAUGAAUAUAACUGUGAACAGAAAUUAAAGCCUCAUGGGGUAGAAGCCUAUUUUGUUGGCUUUGCUCAUAAACUAUGUAUGUUUCAACUAAAAGCCAAAUCUUGUUGAGUGUCAUCUAUAAGUGCAUAGAGCUAUAGAGGGGACAAGCGGCUUAAUGGUUUUCUUCCUUGGUAUUACACUAAAAAUUGGCAACAAUGUAAUGUGAAGAAGAGGAGAAAAAGGGGAUGUUUUCAUCAUCCCCUUACCACCAAUUUAUCUUAUGUUGCAGUGAUCAUACUCAACUUCUUCAUCACCAACCUUGGAAGGUAGUAUCAUGUUCAUUUGUGUAUAAAAGGGCUCUUUGCACUCGAUUUGAUUGUUUUGAAUGAUUUCAUUUCGACACAACCUCGAUCUAAAAUUUUCAUAUUUUAUCUCAAAUUUUAUUUGUGUAACAAGAGGCGCACGUCAGCAUAAAUUGGGGUAUUUGUUAAGCAGCAACUAGGGUUUCCUUCAAAAGUCCCAACUUAGGAGGUGAAACUGAGAGAUUGAAAUUCUAAAGGAUGGUAUCCCAUCUCUUUUUGCCAAUGAUUUCACAGUUCAUAUAAAAUAUUAAAAAAAAACACAAAAGACCAACAGCCCUUUUUGUGCUUCUAGUAUAUGUAUUUGUUUUCUGUUUGUUACUGUUUGUGCAUAUAUAAUUGGAGAGAAGAGUGAGUUUCAUCAAUGGUCACUAAAUUAUCCCAAUCGAGUCACUUUAAGAAUCUUCCCGGUCGUAGGACAAUAUGUGGUACAUAAACAAAAAUAGUACUAAUUAGUUCCUGUUUUCUUUAUACCUUCCUUACUGCCAAUUUUACCGCAAUGUAUAUUUGAAAAUUUAGUUGUCUAAGGUUGUAAUUGUAAUGAGUGAAUGGAGAAUUGGUUCUACCUUGUAGUUUGUUUCACUCAUAUUUUUCAUAUUCAACAAAAUGAUAUGAUUUCUUGAUCUUUAUUUUGUGAUUUAGUUUGUCAAGGUGAUUAUUCUUUGGCAUUAUGACUAAUAUUUUGCAAAUGCAUUUAAAGAAGACUUUGUUACCAUAUUGGAUUAUAGAAAUCAUGAAAGUGUGAAGUUUAUAAAUAUGUGCAUCAAUCAUCUCCUCACAACGUUUAAUCCUAUUGAAAGAUAUAAAUAGUAAAAUCAUAUACUUACUCAAUUCAGGUUGGAUAUCCUUGAAAUGUGGGGGUAUUAAAAUAUUUAAUAGGGUUUUCUUGUCUUUGGUCAAUGCUUAAAAAGAAGUUAAAUGAAUAUCAAAAUGUCAUACUUUUAUUUAUAUGUAUCUAAGUUUUUCUUAUUUAUUGUGACACUAAUAUUUUGUGAAAGUAUUUAGAAGUAUUUGCAGACAUGAAAAAUUUCAAAGAAACUCCACAACGAUGGAUACUUUUGGAAUGUGGCAGUGUUUAAUAUAGAUUGUGGAACAAUUGAAGUUUGACCAAAAGGAACUAAUUCAAGGCUUAGUUCAUUAUGACUCUUUCAAAUGGAAAUUGUUAUUACUAAGUGAGAUUCAAGUCCAAAAGACAUCUACACCUACUAUACAGUAUAACAUUGCCACUAUAUAAUAUAUAUUUAUUUAUUUUGAAAGAUUAAAACUUGUGGGGGAUUGUUGAAAAUUAUAUUAAAGUUUUAACUUUCAAAAUUAUUAUAUUUUAAUUUUCAAUUUUGGGUUAAUUAAAAUCUUAAUUUAUAGUAUAACAUACAAAUAAAUAUUUGAAUGGAUGUUAUGAAUUGAUUAUUUUUCAUUAGUGUGGGGAUUUAAAUUAUACACUAUAAAAAGGGAGGACACGACAUCAAAAUCACAAUCUUGAUAUACAACUAGAAAACACAACUUGAGAUGAUUGAAUUCAAAAAUAUUCUCUACAAUUUUAUAAUUUACUAUUUUGGCAAAUCGAUGNNNNNNNNNNNNNNNNNNNNNNNNNNNNNNNNNNNNNNNNNNNNNNNNNNNNNNNNNNNNNNNNNNNNNNNNNNNNNNNNNNNNNNNNNNNNNNNNNNNNNNNNNNNNNNNNNNNNNNNNNNNNNNNNNNNNNNNNNNNNNAAAUAAUUGAACUUUGAGUCGCUUCAUGGAAAUCUUAUCAAACUUCAAAAUGUUGUUGAAACAUAAUUGAACUUUGUCAAAAUGCUCUCCCAUUCAUCACUCGCAAGAAUUCAUUACGUUGACUUAAACAAAAUUGUCCAUAUUAAUAUGGAAUUCACAUAUUGAACAAAUUGUCGUUUGAUUCCCCCAAUAAGAGAUGGAUGGAGAGCAUUUUGUCAAGAUAUUUACGGCUGUCAACAAUAUUUAAAAAUUUCGUUCAAGUUAGCACAUAAUUUUAACGAGCUAUGAAUGGAUAGCAUUUCAUAGAGUUCAGUAAUGUUUUAACAACAUUUUAAAACAAGUCUUUCGAAUUUACGUGAAUUAAUGAGUUUAAUUUAGGAAUAAUUGUAGCAGCACACAAGAACAAAUGGUGAAUCCAUUUGGCUGUUAGCUGAUCUAGAAAAUGAAAAUUUGACCAAAUUAAAAAGGGUAAAAUAGUAACUUUACAUUUUUUUCACAUUCAAUAAUUAAAAUAUGUAAAUUAGAAAAAUCAAAAUAAAAGAAAAUAAAACUCAUCCCACCUAAAAUGUAAAGUUAUCGUUUUACCCUUCUUAAUUUUGUCAAAUUUUCAUUCUCUAGGUCAACUAAUAGCGAUUUCAUCCGUUUAUCCUUGUGGUGUAGGAAAAUGAAAGGUUUGAAACUGUAGUGAGUACAAAGUGAAGAUUGAUAUAAAGUUUUUAAAAAAGUAAAAGGUUUUGGAUUGUUGUUGCGAUUAUCCCUUCAAUUUAAUUAUCCAAUCAACCAAGGCUCCAAUUAGAUCAAAACGUUUUAACAAAGCAAGUUUUGAUCACGUUUAACUUAAAUAAUAACGAGCAAUUGAUGUCAUUGAAACUAAGGCUUUGUUUGUCUUCAUUUCUUCCACACUUUACAAUAUUUUUUUUUACAGUACUCAUUUUCAUUCACAUUAAUCAUUAUAGAAAAUGAAUUAUAGAAUAGUAGGUUUUUGGAAAAUGUGUGGUUAAAAAGUAAGAAAAAGUUUUUGAAAUUCGUGAAUAAUUAUUUUAUAGAAGAAUGUGGUUGAAAAUGAGUUUUGAAAAAAUGCAUUAUUGAAAAAAUGGGGAUCAAAUAAGGGUUAAAAUAAUAUUAUACAUAAAUAAAAAACUUUUCUUUCUUUUUUAACCACACAUUUUAAUAUCAAUAAUUAUUCCAUAAUACAUUACACACAAAUAAUUGGACACAAACAAGCACUAAAUAUAUAAACAUAAUAGGAUUGAUACCUUAAAAAGCAAGUUUUGAUUAGGAUUGGAAGUUAAAGUCAACCCUCAUUUUCUAUAUAUAUGUAAGCCCCGUUUGGCCCUCAUUUUUUGUAAUGAAAAUGGGGGGAAUAGUGUUUUGUCGAAAAAAUAAGCGGUUGAGAAAGAAGGAAAAAUUUUCGAUUUACGUAUAAUAUUAUUUUAUGGAAGAUUGUGUGGUUGAAAAUAGGAGAGAGAAAAAUAGAAUGUAAUGAAAUGUAAUUUAAUGGGGAACAAACAGGGGCUAAAAGUAAGUUUAACUUAAAAAUAAAUAAGUUUUAUUUGGUCAAAUCUCUUCUAGAACCAUAGAUUAAGCCUCCUGAAAUUUGUUCAUUAAAGUCUACGGAAAAGCCUUUCGAUGAAUCUCGCUUCUGUCAGAUUAUUGACUAAACUUCCUCUAGAAACAAUCUUAAAUCAUUUUAUUAAUUUCUUCAAAAUCAACCUCAUCCAAAGUUUUUCCCAUUCUUUUACGUCUCCAAUUUAUUAUAUAAACUGCAGUUAAUGUAAUCAUUCCCAUUCCCUUCUCAUCAUCUUCCUCCACCAUCUGCACGACAUAAUACUGCCGUUUUUCCCUUCAAAGGAUUUUAUUGAUUCCAAGUCAUGGGAAAGCAAAUGGGUUACAUGCACUAUUGGAUUGAGGAGGUUGCUCCAUCCUCUCUCGUAUUUCCUCGUAAGCCUUCGAAUGCGCCAAAACUCGAAACUAUUGCAGAAGAAGGAUCUGAUCAAAAGUUGAAUUUUGUCAACAAGAGGCUGUGUAGUUUUCUUCUCCCUAUCUUCAUUUCUUUGGGUUCCUAUCUUUUGAUAAACAGAUAUAAUGUUAUUAUCUGAUUGGAAGAACUCAAAGACUCUCAUCCCGUUCUUGAAGGGUGUAUCUUGUAAGAUUAUGAGCAAGUUGGGCACUGUUUCUUUGUAAACGAGUUUUGAAGUUGAGUUCUAUCCCAUGUGAUUACGAUGAAGAUAUUAGAUCUGUAAAGAUGGAGUCAAUGGCAACAAGGAGAUGAACCACACGUACCAUUGGCUUUUCAAGAACAUAGCUAAAGGAACUGGGAUGCAAUCACGUCAUCAUAACAGAGAAAUUCCCAACCUUUAUAUUUCUUUCUUUUCAAUAAAGGAGAAGACGAAUUCUGAAAUACUCUUUAGAUGCAAUCAUGAAGUUAUUUUGUAGUUGGUUAAUUAUGUACAUCAAAUCAAAUAUCAAUAUAUAAUUUGAUUAUAUUUGUAAUUUUAGUUUCUUAGGUGCUCUUUUCAUUUUCAUUUUUCUUUUGUUUGACUCAAGUUUAAGGUGCAUUUGUUAUUGCAUAAACUGUUUUGGGAUAUUUUACUUUUUUUAUUGGAAAUUCGCUUUCUUCAUUAAGUGCAUGUUUAGUAUUGAUUUUUUACCCAAAAAAAUCAAUUUUUUGAUCGUUAUUUCACUAUUCAAGCCAUAAUUUUUGACUUCUUCUCUCACAAAUAGGACACUUUUAUUUUCUACGGUCAAAAAAUCAAUUUUCAAAAUCAAUAUCUUACAAGUCCUAUGACAGUUAAGCAUUAUGAUUAGACUAGAAACCAAUAGGUAGUAUGGUAUUCAAGCUUGCCAUGACACUUGACUAGCUAUGGACUGGGUCAAGGUAAGUUUGUAAUGAGAAUUGAAAGCAAUUUAUCGAUUUAUCCACGGGCACAAUUUAAUUCCUGAUGGCUGGAUAACUUUUGCAAAAUAAAGAAAUGGGCUUCAUUAAUUUGGGCCUCACAGGCCCAACACUUGGAAGUGGGUUAAAUUAGGUUGUGUAAUCAAAAUCUCAAUUUUAAAGCUUGCAGAGCCAAUUCCAGACACUAUAAAAAGUUUGGGAAUUUUCCUUCAAAUAAACUAGGGAAAAUUUCAUAUCUAAGGUGUUAACUAUAAUUCAUUUCAAAAUUAAAAAAUAAUUUUAAAAAUUUUAAAAAUUAAAUUUUAUUUAUAAAAUAAUUAAUUAAAUAAAUUAUAUAUAAUUUGAUCACAAAUAAAAAAUUGUAUAAAUCACCUUAUUUCACGUUCACAACAAAAAUUUUAUAGGUAACAAUUUAUUCAUCAAUCAUAAAUUAAAAAAUUGGUCACAAGUUAUCGAUCACAACUUAUUUUAAAGUCACAAAAUAUCAAAUUAAUUAGUCACAAAGUAUUUUUUUAGGUCACAAAUUAAAAAAUUUGAAGAUUACACAUUGUUUGUUGGUUAUAAAUUAUUUAAUUUAUAGGUAGUGUAUUAUUUAUUGAUCACAUAUUAACUAUUUAAUAGGCACCCACAACAAUAAGAAUGCACCACCACCUCCCCCGUCACAAACACCACCACCACCAGUGUCACUAUCGUCACUAUUUGCAACCCACCAACAACAACUUCACCACCACCACUAAAAAACCACCAACACCACUACUACCUCACCACUACCACCACUAAAAAUAACCAUUUACAAAUUGAAAACAAGUAAACCACCAACAACCACAAAAUCAAGGCUACGCUGAUUGAAAGAGGAAUAAAUAACACCCAAAACCUGAAACCCCUUUCCCACGUCAUCACUAGUCGACGUCGAUGUCACCAAUGUUGAAGCAGCAAGGUCGUGACACUGCGACAAACUCUCAGCAGCCUUCGAUGCCAGCAACGUCGGUUGGAUCAGCGCCUCCAUCAUCGAUCAUCAAAGUUUUGAAUGGGUCGUCGGCAUUCGAAGAGAGAGAAGGGUGAACAAAGAAGAGAGAGAAGGGAGAGAUGUAGAGAGAAGAGGGAAAGGAAAAUAAUUAGGCUUGGAUGAAGUUAGAGUUGGUAUACUGAUUAUUUUAAUUUUAAAAUAUUAUUAAUAUAAUUUUAAAAAGUUUAAAUUGUUAUCUGAGUUUUGGAAAAAAAAAAUUUCAAAAUUUUAAUAAGUUUAAAUUGUGCAUUUUAAAAUUCUUGGAAGAUGUAAUUUCCACAAUAAACUAUUGUUGAUCUAGCCGUCAAAAAAAAUAAGUAGUUUCAAAAAUUAAUUAUCCUUUUCCAAAUUUAUAGGGUUUCUCUUCCAACAAGAAAAUUCUUGUUGUACAAAAAAAUUUGUACAAAAUGGUGUUCUCCACCCACAUGUAAGCUUGUGUAGUGUUUGCUGGACGGAGCGUGCUAUGUGUACAUAAAAAUUAUGGUGUCCCCCACUCACGUGAAACGAACUGUAAAGUGCUGAACCUUAAUCUAUAGGGUCCCCUUUAAUUAUCCCAUGUUGCAGGCAAUACAUAUUCUUGGUUCUUAAAUUCUGAGAUUUUUAUUCUUGACAUAUUCAAUGGGUGAACUUCAAAUAAAACGCCCUUUCACUCUUCCUCCCUCGCCUCUACCCCCGUUGCCCUCAUUACGUGUUGACCCUCCUGCUCUGGUGUUCUCGUCAUGUAUCGAAACUCUUCCCGCUCCUGCAAAUCCAGCAUUUCCCUUUGAUCCCAGCAGGAGUAAAUUAUCUUUCUUUCCUUCUCUUUCUCUUUCUCUGCUUGGCNAUUGAUCUCAUCCACUUGAAAAUUCAUGUAGAAGUUGCUAAUUCUACUUUGUAAAGAGUUGCCUCGGCCCCAUUGCUCGCCCCACAAUCCUACCUUCAGUUUCUUCUUUCCAUUUGUAUCAGAAAGUUAGUGGAUCAGUGUGCAGGUCAGUCACCCUAUCUUGCGUAUUUUCCUCUUUAGUUUUUGUGCAGGGUCGACAGAUGAUAUCUAAUUUAUCCUCUGAGGUGGUUUAUUCUACUUGAAAGCUGGCAAGUUGUAAAAAGUGUCUUGUGGUUCAUGUUUAAAAUAUAUACUUUUAGUAAAGACUAGGUGGAAAUAUAGUUUAGGAUUCAAAAAUGUUUCUUGACGUAGAAAGAAAAGCAAUGGAAAACUUAUGAACAAGUGUCAUAUUUUAGUGUUUUUUUGGUAAUGCUUUUAAGUGCUUAUAAGUUGUGGGUCCUAUGUUUGACCACCUUAAAAAAAAUUCAAGCUUUGCCAAUCUUGCACUUAAAGAAGCAAAUUGAUCUGUUAUGACAGUUUGGGGCUUGAUGUUGAAUAGUCUGGAGAUAUUCUACUGCGAUAAGAAGUGGUCUGGAAACAUAAAAUACUGGAAUAUUAGAGAACUGAGAUAUCAUUUUUGGAGAACGGGAGAUUGUUGCUUGUAUAAAAUUGUUCUGACGGAUGGAAACAGAACAAUGAGUUCUUUGGUCAAACAACUAGCAUGGAAUGAAGAAUAUUUGUGUUUGUAGUGCAAAGAGAAUUAAACCUGUCUUAAUUAAAACUACGUGCUAUAUAUUGUUGAACACAUGAAAUGAAAAAUAUAU
Molecule: long non-coding RNA, 15130 nt
Filed under: Olea europaea (common olive)
Lineage: Eukaryota; Viridiplantae; Streptophyta; Magnoliopsida; Lamiales; Oleaceae
Description: long non-coding RNA (OEUR_LNC007938)
Source: RNAcentral